CCUACGGGAGGCAGCAGUGGGGAAUAUUGGACAAUGGGGGGAACCCUGAUCCAGCCAUGCCGCGUGUGUGAAGAAGGCCUUUUGGUUGUAAAGCACUUUAAGCGAGGAGGAGGCUCUCUUGGUUAAUACCUGAGAAGAGUGGACGUUACUCGCAGAAUAAGCACCGGCUAACUCUGUGCCAGCAGCCGCGGUAAUACAGAGGGUGCGAGCGUUAAUCGGAUUUACUGGGCGUAAAGCGCGCGUAGGUGGUUAAUUAAGUCAAAUGUGAAAUCCCCGAGCUUAACUUGGGAAUUGCAUUCGAUACUGGUUAGCUAGAGUAUGGGAGAGGAUGGUAGAAUUCCAGGUGUAGCGGUGAAAUGCGUAGAGAUCUGGAGGAAUACCGAUGGCGAAGGCAGCCAUCUGGCCUAAUACUGACACUGAGGUGCGAAAGCAUGGGGA
Molecule: ribosomal RNA, 438 nt
Filed under: Acinetobacter seohaensis
Lineage: Bacteria; Pseudomonadati; Pseudomonadota; Gammaproteobacteria; Moraxellales; Moraxellaceae
Description: bacterial SSU rRNA
Rfam family: Bacterial small subunit ribosomal RNA
Source: RNAcentral